RNAcentral lists this ribosomal RNA (490 nucleotides) under uncultured bacterium. Its description in RNAcentral is "partial 16S ribosomal RNA". It matches the Rfam family "Bacterial small subunit ribosomal RNA", at positions 30 to 507 of the family's 1533-position model. The record is from RNAcentral.
AUUGAACGCUGGCGGCAGGCUUAACACAUGCAAGUCGAGCGGUAACAGAGAGAAGCUUGCUUCUCUGCUGACGAGCGGCGGCCGGGUGAGUAAUGCCUAGGAAUCUGCCUAGUAGUGGGGGAUAACUUGCCGAAAGGUAAGCUAAUACCGCAUACGUCCUACGGGAGAAAGGAGGGGACCUUCGGGCCUUUCGCUAUUAGAUGAGCCUAGGUCGGAUUAGUUAGUUGGUGAGGUAAUGGCUCACCAAGACCGCGAUCCGUAACUGGUCUGAGAGGAUGAUCAGUCACACUGGAACUGAGACACGGUCCAGACUCCUACGGGAGGCAGCAGUGGGGAAUAUUGGACAAUGGGGGGAACCCUGAUCCAGCCAUGCCGCGUGUGUGAAGAAGGUCUUAGGAUUGUAAAGCACUUUAAGUUGGGAGGAAGAGCAGUUAACUAAUAUUUGACUGUUUUGACGUUACCGACAGAAUAAGCACCGGCUAACUUCGUG